RNAcentral lists this transfer RNA (73 nucleotides) under Camelus bactrianus (Bactrian camel). It matches the Rfam family "tRNA". From Rfam's summary of the family: Transfer RNA (tRNA) molecules are approximately 80 nucleotides in length. RNAcentral also lists the same sequence under 2 other names. Lineage: Eukaryota; Metazoa; Chordata; Mammalia; Artiodactyla; Camelidae. The record is from Rfam by way of RNAcentral.
GAGGGUAUAGCUCAAGUGGUAGAGUGCAUGCUUAGCAUGCACAAGGUCCUGGGUUCAAUCCCCAAUACCUCCU